UUAUGUGUGCCCAAGCAUUGAGGCAGUCAAAGUAGGCAAAUCCGCUUUGAUAAUGCUGGGAUGUGAUGGGGAGCGAAAUUUAGUAGCGAAGUAGCUGAUUUCACACUGUCAAGAAAAGUCUCUAUCGAGGUUAAAGGUACCCGUACCGCAAACCGACACAGGUGGGUGAGGAGAGUAUCCUAAGGCCAGCGAGAGAACUGUUGUUAAGGAACUCGGCAAAAUGACCCCGUAACUUAGGGAUAAGGGGUGCCACCAUCAGGUGGCCGCAGAGAAUAGGCCCAAGCGACUGUUUACCAAAAACAUAGGUUUCUGCUAAGUCGCAAGACGAUGUAUAGGAGCUGACGCCUGCCCGGUGCUGGAAGGUUAAGGGGAUCUGUUAGAGCAAUCGAAGCAGUGAACUUAAGCCCCAGUAAACGGCGGCCGUAACUAUAACGGUCCUAAGGUAGCGAAAUUCCUUGUCGGGUAAGUUCCGACCCGCACGAAAGGCGUAACGAUUUGGGCACUGUCUCAACAACAGACUCGGUGAAAUUGUAAUUCCGGUGAAGAUGCCGGAUACCUGCGACAGGACGGAAAGACCCCAUGGAGCUUUACUGUAGCUUGACAUUGGGUCUUGGUACUACAUGUACAGGAUAGGUGGGAGGCUUUGAAACCAGGACGCCAGUUUUGGCGGAGCCAUCCUUGGGAUACCACCCUUGUA
RNAcentral lists this ribosomal RNA (697 nucleotides) under Clostridioides difficile. RNAcentral describes it as "partial 23S ribosomal RNA". It matches the Rfam family "Bacterial large subunit ribosomal RNA", at positions 1502 to 2210 of the family's 2925-position model. Lineage: Bacteria; Bacillati; Bacillota; Clostridia; Peptostreptococcales; Peptostreptococcaceae. The record is from RNAcentral.